Molecule: unclassified non-coding RNA, 262 nt
Filed under: Melitaea cinxia (Glanville fritillary)
Lineage: Eukaryota; Metazoa; Arthropoda; Insecta; Lepidoptera; Nymphalidae
Description: misc RNA ENSMCXG00005002868.1
Source: RNAcentral
UGAUUUUGAGAGUCUUUGUGACAAUUAAAUAAACAAAACUCUGUCUACAUUCUGGUACCCCUUAUCCGAUCUGUGUAGUGAGUUCUUUACAGAGACCCGUAACUAUUCAAAGUUUCAUAUUACAAUGAAAAUCUUUGACAGGAGACGACACCAUGCUAUUUUUAAUAUGUACGAUUUUAUUUUUGUGUUACCCACACAUUAGGAAUUCUAAAAAUUUUUGAAUAUCAUAUCAAAAAUUGACCGCUCCAGCGGGGUUCGAACC